UACGUAGGUGGCAAGCGUUAUCCGGAUUUACUGGGUGUAAAGGGCGUGUAGGCGGGACUGCAAGUCAGAUGUGAAAACCACGGGCUCAACCUGUGGCCUGCAUUUGAAACUGUAGUUCUUGAGUACUGGAGAGGCAGACGGAAUUCCUAGUGUAGCGGUGAAAUGCGUAGAUAUUAGGAGGAGCACCAGUGGCGAAGGCGGUCUGCUGGACAGCAACUGACGCUGAGGCGCGAAAGCGUGGGGAGCAAACAGG
Molecule: ribosomal RNA, 253 nt
Filed under: uncultured bacterium
Lineage: Bacteria
Description: partial 16S ribosomal RNA
Rfam family: Bacterial small subunit ribosomal RNA
Source: RNAcentral